UGCAGUCGAACGGUGAAGAGGAGCUUGCUCCUUGGAUCAGUGGCGAACGGGUGAGUAACACGUGAGCAAUCUGCCCUUGACUCUGGGAUAACUGCGGGAAACUGUAGCUAAUACCGGAUAUUACCUUGGAAGGCAUCUUCUGGGGUGGAAAGAAUUUUGGUCAAGGAUGAGCUCGCGGCCUAUCAGCUAGUUGGUGAGGUAAUGGCUCACCAAGGCGACGACGGGUAGCCGGCCUGAGAGGGUGACCGGCCACACUGGGACUGAGACACGGCCCAGACUCCUACGGGAGGCAGCAGUGGGGAAUAUUGCACAAUGGGCGCAAGCCUGAUGCAGCAACGCCGCGUGAGGGACGACGGCCUUCGGGUUGUAAACCUCUUUUAGUAGGGAAGAAGCGACUGGGUUUUCCUGGGAGUGACGGUACCUGCAGAAAAAGCACCGGCUAACUACGUGCCAGCAGCCGCGGUAAUACGUAGGGUGCAAGCGUUGUCCGGAAUUAUUGGGCGUAAAGAGCUCGUAGGCGGUUUGUCGCGUCUGCUGUGAAAACCCGAGGCUCAACCUCGGGCCUGCAGUGGGUACGGGCAGACUAGAGUGCGGUAGGGGAGAUUGGAAUUCCUGGUGUAGCGGUGGAAUGCGCAGAUAUCAGGAGGAACACCAAUGGCGAAGGCAGAUCUCUGGGCCGUAACUGACGCUGA
Molecule: ribosomal RNA, 692 nt
Filed under: Cryobacterium sp. Y4_299
Lineage: Bacteria; Bacillati; Actinomycetota; Actinomycetes; Micrococcales; Microbacteriaceae
Description: bacterial SSU rRNA
Rfam family: Bacterial small subunit ribosomal RNA
Source: RNAcentral